RNAcentral lists this ribosomal RNA (433 nucleotides) under uncultured bacterium. Its description in RNAcentral is "partial 16S ribosomal RNA". It matches the Rfam family "Bacterial small subunit ribosomal RNA", at positions 29 to 507 of the family's 1533-position model. The record is from RNAcentral.
AACGAACGCUGGCGGCAUGCCUAACACAUGCAAGUCGAACGUGACCUUCGGGUCUAGUGGCGCACGGGUGCGUAACGCGUGGGAACCUGCCCUUAGGUUCGGAAUAACUCCCCGAAAGGGGUGCUAAUACCGGAUAAUGUCUUCGGACCAAAGAUUUAUCGCCUUUGGAUGGGCCCGCGUUGGAUUAGCUAGUUGGUAGGGUAAAAGCCUACCAAGGCGACGAUCCAUAGCUGGUCUGAGAGGAUGAUCAGCCACACUGGGACUGAGACACGGCCCAGACUCCUACGGGAAGCAGCAGUGGGGAAUAUUGGACAAUGGGCGAAAGCCUGAUCCAGCAAUGCCGCGUGAGUGAUGAAGGCCUUAGGGUUGUAAAGCUCUUUUACCCGGGAUGAUAAUGACAGUACCGGGAGAAUAAGCUCCGGCUAACUCCGUG